CAGGGCAUUUGUUGUUGGUCGUGGCUUCCCAAUUGCUGACUUUCUAAUUUGCUCAAAUCUUGCUGAUGGCUAGGAAAAGGAAGUGUUCGUUCAUGGAUGACUUUCCUAGUGAUGCUUCUAACGGUCUUGGUGAUGAUGAAUUGUUGUUAUCUGGGAACUCUUCUGCUGCUGAAGAAAAUAAUGAGUCUAGUAAUGAUAGACUGUUUGAUUCAGAGGAUUCUAUGUCUGAUGCUCACCAUUUCGUUAAUGAGGCUUUGUGCAAGCAGUAUAUGAAAGAA
Sorghum bicolor (sorghum) is the source of this 278-nucleotide long non-coding RNA. RefSeq lists it as uncharacterized. The transcript is spliced from 3 exons. The record is from RefSeq and is a predicted model, not a curated record. NCBI's taxonomy places the organism in Eukaryota, Viridiplantae, Streptophyta, Magnoliopsida, Poales, Poaceae.